CAGAUGACAUCUGAGAUGUUUAUGUAUUUUCAGUAGGAGACUAGUACUUAUGGAUUCAAAAUAUCUUCAAGAACAACUAGGAGACGUCUUAACUUUGGCACUUGCAGAAGUAUGUGAAAAACGACCAGCUGACCCAGUAGAGUAUCUAGCACAAUGGUUAUAUCGGAAAAAGAAAGAUCAAGAAACAUUAAAACAGGAUAUGAAGGAUGAGUUGGAGCUCUAUCUGGAAUCUAAGGAGGUGAAAUCAUCAGAUUGAGCAAGUAGUUGCCUCAGAGAAUGCUACCUUCUGUUAUCUGUGUCACAUCUGUUACAAGAAUGCAGGCAUGGGUCUGAAAGCAUGUCAUGUGUUUACAUUGUCAAUCAUUUCUUCAUCUGGAUCCUGUCUAAUAAAUUCAAGGUUAGCCAUAUUAACACUGGCGCUAAUUCUGUGUGAUUUAUAUAAUUUAAAGUAUAGUUUGAUAGAUAAUAAAUGAUUGCAAUUUACCUAAAACACAUCUACAUGCACGUGCACAUAAUCCAAUAUCAUUUGUAUACGUGUGCAUAUAUAUAGUGAAGUUUCGUAAUAAUAAAAACAUGGAACUAACUUACUGUAAAUACUUGUUACCCAGCUAACAAUGGCAAUGCCAGCAAACUGCUCGAACUGGCUUUCGAAUUAGAGGUUCGUGCAAAACUAAUAGUAAUUAGACUAUUAAACAUAUAUGGGGAAUAACGGUAAUAAUAAAAUUAUAUUUCCCGAAAUAGAAACUUACAGAUCAAAUCAAUAUUUGAAAUUUUAUUUUAACACAGAAAUGUUUACGUGGUAACAUGUAAGAUUUACAAUAAAUAAUCACACAAUAUUGACAAAAAAUUGAAAUUUUCCCAUGUUUAGCAUCAAGAGGUGCAUGGUAUUAAGAACCAAACCUGUAUGCGGAUCUCUCAUGCUGACAGGUGCCACCUACGUGUUAACUGUAAUUUAAUUUUUUGCAUUCCAUUGUUUCUUAACAUAUGGCUACCCCGGCAUAUGGUUUUAGUCCACA
This is a long non-coding RNA of Priapulus caudatus, 1016 nucleotides long. RefSeq lists it as uncharacterized. The record is from RefSeq and is a predicted model, not a curated record. The transcript is spliced from 2 exons. NCBI's taxonomy places the organism in Eukaryota, Metazoa, Priapulida, Priapulimorpha, Priapulimorphida, Priapulidae.